GGGGUCUAUGGGGGUGUAGAGAUGGUAGGUGGUGGUGUAGAGAUGGUAGGUGGUGGUCUGUGGUGGUGUAGAGAUGGUCUGUGGUGGUGUAGAGAUGGUAGGUGAAGUGUCUGUGGUGUUGCAGAGAUGGUAGGUGGUGGUCUGUGGUGGUGUAGAGAUGGUAGGUGAAGUGUCUGUGGUGUUGCAGAGAUGGUAGGUGGGGGUCUGUGGUGGUGUAGAGAUGGUAGGUGGUGGUCUGUGGUGGUGUAGAGAUGGUAUGUGGGGGUCUGUGGUGGUGUAGAGAUGGUCUGUGGUGGUCUGUGGUGGUGUAGAGAUGGAAGGUGGGGGUCUGUGGUGGUGUAGAGAAUGUAAUUGGGGGUCUGUGGUGGUGUAGAGAUGGUCUGUGUUGGUCUGUGGUGGUGUAGAGAUGGUAGAUGGUGGUGUAGAGAUGGUAGGUGGUGGUCUGUGGUGGUGUAGAGAUGGUAGGUGGUGGUCUG
RNAcentral lists this long non-coding RNA (476 nucleotides) under Salmo salar (Atlantic salmon). RNAcentral describes it as "lncRNA (ENSSSAG00000114799.1)". Lineage: Eukaryota; Metazoa; Chordata; Actinopteri; Salmoniformes; Salmonidae. The record is from RNAcentral.